AGCAGUGUAGCACAGUGGUAGGGAAUAGGGCUGGUAACCAAAAGGUUGCUGGUUCGAUUCCCUGCUGGGG
Molecule: transfer RNA, 70 nt
Filed under: Megalops atlanticus (tarpon)
Lineage: Eukaryota; Metazoa; Chordata; Actinopteri; Elopiformes; Megalopidae
Description: tRNA-OTHER
Source: RNAcentral